This 253-nucleotide ribosomal RNA is filed under the name uncultured bacterium. RNAcentral describes it as "partial 16S ribosomal RNA". It matches the Rfam family "Bacterial small subunit ribosomal RNA", at positions 524 to 776 of the family's 1533-position model. The record is from RNAcentral.
UACGUAGGGGGCAAGCGUUGUCCGGAAUCAUUGGGCGUAAAGCGCGUGUAGGCGGUUUGUCGCGUCGGGAGUGAAAACAUCGGGCUUAACUCGAUGCUUGCUUUCGAUACGGGCAGACUUGAGGUAUGCAGGGGAGAAUGGAAUUCCUGGUGUAGCGGUGAAAUGCGCAGAUAUCAGGAGGAACACCGGUGGCGAAGGCGGUUCUCUGGGCAUUACCUGACGCUGAGGAGCGAAAGUGUGGGGAGCGAACAGG